GACGAACGCUGGCGGCGUGCUUAACACAUGCAGGUCGAACGGAAAGGCCUGCUUUCCCUUGUGGAUUGCGGGUACUCGAGUGGCGAACGGGUGAGUAACACGUGAGUGAUCUGCCCCCAACUUGGGUAUAAGCCUGGGAAACUGGGUCUAAUUCCCGAUAGGACUGCAGGGUGGUGCCUGUGGUGGAAAACGAUUUUCUAGUGGUUGGGGAUGAGCUCGCGGCCUAUCAGCUUGUUGGUGGGGUAAUGGCCUACCAAGGCGGCGACGGGUAGCCGGCCUGAGAGGGUGGACGGCCACAUUGGGACUGAGAUACGGCCCCGACUCCUACGGGAGGCAGCAGUGGGGACUAUUGCACCAUGGGCGGAAGCCUGAUGCAGCGACGCCGCGUGGGGGAUGACGGCCUUCGGGUUGUAAACUCCUUUCGACCGCGAGGAAGCCACCUGGUUGGAAGGGUGGUGACGGUAGUGGUAGAAGAAGCACCGGCUAACUACGUG
RNAcentral lists this ribosomal RNA (494 nucleotides) under uncultured bacterium. RNAcentral describes it as "partial 16S ribosomal RNA". It matches the Rfam family "Bacterial small subunit ribosomal RNA", at positions 28 to 507 of the family's 1533-position model. The record is from RNAcentral.